UGGGGAAUUUUGGACAAUGGGGGAAACCCUGAUCCAGCCAUCCCGCGUGUGCGAUGAAGGCCUUCGGGUUGUAAAGCACUUUUGGCAGGAAAGAAACGUCAUGGGUUAAUACUCCGUGCAACUGACGGUACCUGCAGAAUAAGCACCGGCUAACUACGUGCCAGCAGCCGCGGUAAUACGUAGGGUGCAAGCGUUAAUCGGAAUUACUGGGCGUAAAGCGUGCGAAGGCGGUUCGGAAAGAGAGAUGUGAAAUCCCAGAGCUCAACUUUGGAACUGCAAUUUUAACUACCGAGCUAGAGUGUGUCAGAGGGAGGUGAAAUUCCGCGUGUAGCAGUGAAAUGCGUAGAUGUGCGGAGGAACACCUAUGGCGAAGGCAGCCUCCUGGGAUAACACUGACGCUCAUGCACGAAAGCGUGGAGAGCAAACAGG
RNAcentral lists this ribosomal RNA (429 nucleotides) under Acidobacteriota bacterium. Its description in RNAcentral is "Acidobacteria bacterium partial 16S ribosomal RNA". It matches the Rfam family "Bacterial small subunit ribosomal RNA", at positions 355 to 776 of the family's 1533-position model. Lineage: Bacteria; Pseudomonadati; Acidobacteriota. The record is from RNAcentral.